Molecule: long non-coding RNA, 210 nt
Filed under: Homo sapiens (human)
Lineage: Eukaryota; Metazoa; Chordata; Mammalia; Primates; Hominidae
Description: non-protein coding lnc-FLVCR2-2:1
Source: RNAcentral
CUGAGAACCUCACCUCCCCCAGCCGCCGAUGUUCUUCAGAUGUACUAUCUCUGAGCUUAGGCUGAUGAAAGCUGAGCGUCUGUCAUUUGCAAUCAACUCAGCAGUGAAAAGAAAAAAAAAACCUGGGGGUACAGUCAGCACUUUCGGUUUUCUCAUCUGAGACACUAGAACACACUUUCAGGGACUACUCGGGGCCCAGGGAGGCUGAUG